Molecule: ribosomal RNA, 492 nt
Filed under: uncultured bacterium
Lineage: Bacteria
Description: partial 16S ribosomal RNA
Rfam family: Bacterial small subunit ribosomal RNA
Source: RNAcentral
AGUGAACGCUGGCGGCAUGCCUAACACAUGCAAGUCGAACGGCAGCACAGUAAGAGCUUGCUCUUACGGGUGGCGAGUGGCGGAAGGGUGAGGAAUACAUCGGAUUCUACUUUUUCGUGGGGGAUAACGUAGGGAAACUUACGCUAAUAACUCAUACGUCCUACGGGUGAAAGCAGGGGAUCUUCGGACCUUGCGCGAUCGAAUGAGCCGAUGUCGGAUUAGCUAGUUGGCGGGGUAAAGGCCCACCAAGGCGACGAUCCGUAGCUGGUCUGAGAGGAUGAUCAGCCACACUGGAACUGAGACACGGUCCAGACUCCUACGGGAGGCAGCAGUGGGGAAUAUUGGACAAUGGGCGCAAGCCUGAUCCAGCCAUACCGCGUGGGUGAAGAAGGCCUUCGGGUUGUAAAGCCCUUUUGUUGGGAGAGAAAAGCAGCAGGUUAAUACCCCGCUGUUCUGACGGUACCCAAAGAAUAAGCACCGGCUAACUUCGUG